This is a long non-coding RNA of Humulus lupulus (European hop), 556 nucleotides long. RefSeq lists it as uncharacterized. Lineage: Eukaryota; Viridiplantae; Streptophyta; Magnoliopsida; Rosales; Cannabaceae. The record is from RefSeq and is a predicted model, not a curated record. The transcript has 3 exons.
UGGUUUUGGUGCUUGAUUAUCAUUGUGAUAUUUGCUUUGUAGGACUUGCUAAACCUGCUCCUGUUAUAGAAACUUUUUGUACCGAUGAAUUAGUUUGGCAGCAUGUGAAACUUGAUGGAGUUGUUACUUUGGUUGAUUCCAAGCACGCAAUGCAACACCUUAAUGAAAUAAAACCAAGAUUUGUGGUUAACGAGGUUGUAGAAAAAAUUGCUUAUGCUGAUUGUAUUAUUUUUUAACAAGAUAGAUUUAGUGACUGAGGUUGAGCUGGAGAUAUUGACCUAGAGAAUUAAGCAUAUUAAUGGGAUGGCACAAAUGAAGCAAGCUAAGUUUGGAUCCGUUGACAUGGACUUUGUUCUUGGAGUGGGAGGUUAUGAUCUUGAUAGGUUGUUAGCUUGUCUCUAUGUUUCUGUGCCGUUCCGUUCCAUUCCAAUCUUUCUUUCCACUUCAUUCCAAUCUUCUUUUUAUUACUUGUCUUCAUGGAUAUAAUGCGAACGUGUUAAUGUGUUAAUUUGCAGGAUUGAUUCUGAAGUUCAGGUAGAUAAUUCAUGUUCUACAA